RNAcentral lists this microRNA (23 nucleotides) under Ananas comosus (pineapple). RNAcentral's name for it is "microRNA s1391_c055b". Lineage: Eukaryota; Viridiplantae; Streptophyta; Magnoliopsida; Poales; Bromeliaceae. The record is from RNAcentral.
ACGUCUGCUUGACGGAGAUAGGA